This 2129-nucleotide long non-coding RNA is filed under the name Homo sapiens (human). RNAcentral's name for it is "HSALNT0043393". The record is from RNAcentral. Lineage: Eukaryota; Metazoa; Chordata; Mammalia; Primates; Hominidae.
CAAGGCUACUCCUGACUGACCAUCACAUAAAAGAAUACAAAACAAUCUGAAAGUCAACCAAGGAAAUAGUAAUCAAGAAUAAUUCUGAAUAGACGUAAUUUCUACUUUAUGCAUGACUGUAAACCUUAACUUCACUGAACUAGACCAGGUAUGACAGCUCCUCUCCCAACAGCUCUACUUUCUACAUCUACUCUCUACCACCACAAAACUUCUUUCAGUUCCAUGAAAGGGCCAUGUUUUUCUGGUCUCUUGGCCUAGGAGCAUGUUGUUCUUCUGCCAGCAACCUUCUUCAACCAUCUCCACAGGAUGACUCCUCUAUUGGAUACUUCCAUGAAAAGUCCAGGCCUGGGUUAUGUACCCUUCCCAAAGUGCACCCCAGACACCCAACAGUUUUUCCAGCCCAGACUCACCACACUGUGUGGUAAUUUCCUGAUCACUCAGUUGUGCUCCCCACAGACUAUAAGCUCUAUGAGGGCAGGGGCCACAGUUUGCUUGUUCACUACUAUAUGCUCAGUACCUGGUAAAUAUUAGUUGACUGAAGAAUGACUAUGUGGUAAUCUAUUCCAUUGGUGGCCUCCAGUGAACCAUGUCUUCUGGUAUUUACAUCUUGUGUGGUCCCCUCCAUUAAAUUUGGGCUUUAACCAACAGAAUGCUGCAGAAGCGACACCCUGCCACUUGUGCUUUUGUGAUCCUAGCCACCAGUAAGAAGCCCUGUGACCUUGCUGAGACCCUGAAGAGACCACAUAGAGAGGCCACUUGAAGGGCAAGGGGUCCUGACUCUACAUGGAGAGAGAAGCCCAGCCAUCCCUGUUUCCCAGCUGAGUCCUGACCAGAUAACUCACUACAAGACUGACCACAGGCAAGAACAGCAGAAGAGCUGCCCAGCUGAGCCCAUCCAAGAGUGCAGAAUUUCAAGCAAGUAAAAUGACUAAUGUUGUAAGCCACUAAAAUUCUAGGGUGGUUCUUACAUAGCAAUAUGUAACUGUGAUAAACUAAAUAAAUGAAUAAAAGGGAAUGAAGAAUUACUUCACAGAAUAAGUUUCAUGCAAAGACAUCUCAAUGUCUCUAAGAAACACUUCUAAGGAAGAGCAGAGUCAAGAAAAUAGCAACAGAACUAACAGGAAAUAGAGGAACUCAUACCACCAGCUUCCAUUUACAUUACAUCACAUUUUUCCUCUGUCAGUUUCUUUGGUUUUAAGAUAUUCUCCAAUGAAAAGAUAUUCCUACUCUUUUGUGAAAAAGAGAUUCUAGGUUUGACAUUAAAGUUAAGAAGUCCAACCAAGGAGGGGAUGUGAACACUAACACACAAAUGGAAACUGCUUAGAAUCCCAUGGCCAACCUAUCCCUGCUGUUCUAUUUCCUCUUACUUGCCAGCAGAGCAGAUCUACAGCUGUGGAUGAGGGCAUAGAGGCUGCUGUGCUCAGGGGAAACUGGAAUACUAUGGAGACUCCUGGCUUAACUGGGCACCAAAUGUUCAGUUCAGUGUGAAAAAUACCAUCCAAAGAUCAGAAUGGUUAAUUUUUAUACAGACAGUUAAUGACUUGUCAGUGAACUAGUAAAAACAAAAUAGACAGCUACUCAGUGCCUUUAACCCAGGCAUCCAAUCAGUUACACUAUACACAUAUGCACAUACACCCCCUAGAGACAGCUGAUACACACUGUUACAUAAUCCAGAAUAUUUUCUGGCUAGACUAUAUUUUGAAUCCUAAAUAUUAGCUAGCAACAUUAGCAUGCACAUCUCAGAAUGAGAAGACAGACUGCUACAUUUAUACUGGCUUGAUGGAAUCUUGGAUUGCUACUUCUAAUAAUUGCUUUUCUUCCUGAAAGAAAAAAAUCAUUAUGUAAGAACUAUGGCCUAAGCGAAGUAUCUGUCUUUUGUAAAAAACCAUAAAACAAAAUGCCAAGAAUAUUUUCUAACGUAUUAUACUGGACUAAUGCUUUGAAAUUUCUGAAUGAUGUUUAGUAGGUAAAAUUAUCAAUGUAUGUCUAGAAUAGCAUGCCUCUUAAACCUACCUCCAAUUAAUAAAUUUUAUGUGAUAGAUAUUUAAAGUAAAGAAGUGAAUUCAGGAACAAGCCAGCGGCUUGAAUGCUGCAUGCUUGGGAAGGGAAAAAUCAGCUCCCAGGGUUUU